AAUGUUCUGUUGGCUUUUCAUUUUCAGAAACAGUUAAACUAUCGAAAGUUUUUUUUUUUUUAAUUUUUUGAAACAGGAGAUGAUGAAAAGGAAUGAAAGAGUUUGGGAAGAAAUAGUGAGAGAGAACUAGUUGCAAUAGAUGAGUUUGCAUAUUUUUUUCUUUUGGUUUUUUUAUCAUGGAAUACCCAUAUGUAUUGUUGUUGGCCACCUGCUACAAGACACCAAAAAAAUUGUUUUUUUAAAGCCAUGUGUAAAAUGUAUUGUACAAAAUAUAAGCAAAAAAUACACAUGGGUGCCAGUCAUUACAUUACCGACACCAAAAAAAAAACUUAAUCCUUUCUGACAUGAGUGCCAGCCAUGGGGUUGUCGGCACCAUCGUGCAUUGUUCCUUCCAGGUUAUUUUUAUUAAUGUUUUUGAAUCUGGGUUAUUCUUAUAAAUAUUUAAUCUUUUUAGGUCAUUUUAGUAAAAUAGUGUAACACCUCUUACCCGAGACCGUUGCCGGAAUCGAGUACGAGGCAUUACUUAGCUUAUCUUACUAAUUCGGGGCAUAAAAAUUCGUUUUAAAAAUUAAUUUCACUGUUUACAGUAAUCUGUCCAAUCGCGCAGCAGUUACUAAAUUGAUUAUAACUCGAGCUACGGAACUCCAAAUUUAAUUUCGUAAUUUUUUCCUGAAACUAGACUCAUAUAUCUUUCUACCAUAAAAUUUUCAGAAUUCUUGGUUUGACCAAUUAAUACAGUUUAUUAGUUAAAUUCUCCCCUGUUUCUUCACUCGACUGUCCUGACCCCUUGGUACUAAAAAUAAAUUUUCUCAUUAUAGGAUUUUCAUAUGAUAUUACCACUUUUCAAUCAAUACACAAUUCACAUAUUCACAUAUCUCAAUUUAAUAUCUCAUUUAUUCAAUUCAUAUUUUAAUUCAUCCAAUUAAAUAUUGAUAUUCUCCUUAUUUUUAUUUACUAACAUAUUAUUCAAAAUUCAAUAAUUACUGUCAAUAAAUUCAAUAUCAAUACGUAUAUAUAUUAUUCAAUUCAAUUAUGAAACUCACCUCAAUUUGCUUAUCGUGUAUAUUAAUUUAAUUUUCAACGAUUAAUAAUUAAAUUCGAAUUAUAGUAAUACUAACCGCAAUUUCUCUCGAGUCACUCCUUGUCCACUUUCUCCUUUCCUUUCUCGGACAAUGACUCGUACACGACAUUAGCUACGUAAUUAAACAAUUAAAAAUCAUUAAUACACAAUUUCAUUAAAAUAUUUCCUUUUAUACCUAAACUUUACCCAAAUUCUAAUUUAAUCCCUUACCAAUACUAAUUUUAUUUUUCCCAAUCUAACUCUACAUUCUCUCUUAAUUCUUACUAUAAAGUCAAUUUAAUUCCUCAAUUUCACCAUAAAUCCCUAAUUUCGGGAUUCUUUCAAUUUAAUCCCUAUCGAUUCAAAACUUAUAUUUUAUUUUACAAUCACAUUCUUUACUAACUUCUAACUUGAAAUUAAAUCAAUUUAACCCCUAACUAAACCUAUAUAUUUUUCUUUCUCAAUUCAUACCCUUAUUCUACCCAAUUUCUUACUAAACUCAUAUUUAACUAUUUAAUUUUUAUCAUGUUUUCAUAAUUCCGAAUUUAUUUCAAAUUAAUCCCUAAAAUUCAAAACUUAUAGUUUAGUUUACAAUUCAAUCCUUUAUUCAAUUCCAAUCAAAAUUUCUAUCAAAUACAUCCCUAAUUUAACAAUUUAUUCAACAUGAACCAUGCUUAAUAAUCUACUAACUUCCAAAAUUUCAACUUAAAUCAAGUAGUAUUUUGUUCUAGGAUUUCAAAAAAAAUAUCAAAAUUAAGAGAAAAGGGGAUUAAAUUGACUUACCAAAUUACUUUGAACCUUAAAACCCCAAAUUUCUCUUUUUCUUUUCUUUUCUUUCUUUCUUUCCUUCCUUCCUUCUCUGUUUCGUUUUGCUCUCUGUUUCUUUCUUUCUCCCUUCUCUGUUUUGUUUUGCUCUCUGUUUCUUUUCUUUCUUUCUUUGUCAUAUAUAUAUAUAAUAUAAUAUAAUAUAAUAUAAUA
This 2038-nucleotide long non-coding RNA is filed under the name Gossypium barbadense (sea-island cotton). RNAcentral describes it as "long non-coding RNA (GBAR_LNC022862)". Lineage: Eukaryota; Viridiplantae; Streptophyta; Magnoliopsida; Malvales; Malvaceae. The record is from RNAcentral.